GAGCUAAUGGCAUUGCAAUGACUACAAUGUCUCUUGCUAAAGCAGUUGGUCCAUCUAUAGGUGGUGUAAUGAUUUCUUGGGCACAAACCCGUCUUGGUGCCUCCAUUCUUCCGGGUAUGCAGAUGGUUUUCUUUAUCUUAAAUGUGAUCGAGCUGAUUGGAGUGUUUAUGACGUUCAAACCAUUCUUAACAACGCCAUAAUUGAGAACCAAAUGAAAUAUUAUUGUCUAUUUACAUACAUACAGUAACAUAAAUCCAUAUUGUUUAUGGAUUUUUUUUGUUUGUGCUAGUUUGCUUUGUAUUGUAAGAGAGAGCGCAUUUUCAUAUAUUAAUAUUGAUUGUAAAACUUUGCUGAAUGAAACUUCCAUAUUUUGCCUCAAAA
Molecule: long non-coding RNA, 381 nt
Organism: Humulus lupulus (European hop)
Lineage: Eukaryota; Viridiplantae; Streptophyta; Magnoliopsida; Rosales; Cannabaceae
Exons: 3
Source: RefSeq, a predicted model, not a curated record